This 1441-nucleotide ribosomal RNA is filed under the name uncultured organism. Its description in RNAcentral is "16S ribosomal RNA". It matches the Rfam family "Bacterial small subunit ribosomal RNA". The record is from RNAcentral.
GAUGAACGCUAGCUACAGGCUUAACACAUGCAAGUCGAGGGGCAGCAUUUUAGUUUGCUUGCAAACUGAAGAUGGCGACCGGCGCACGGGUGAGUAACACGUAUCCAACCUGCCGAUAACUCCGGAAUAGCCUUUCGAAAGAAAGAUUAAUACCGGAUAGUAUACGAAUAUCGCAUGGUAUUUUUAUUAAAGAAUUUCGGUUAUCGAUGGGGAUGCGUUCCAUUAGUUUGUUGGCGGGGUAACGGCCCACCAAGACUACGAUGGAUAGGGGUUCUGAGAGGAAGGUCCCCCACAUUGGAACUGAGACACGGUCCAAACUCCUACGGGAGGCAGCAGUGAGGAAUAUUGGUCAAUGGGCGAGAGCCUGAACCAGCCAAGUAGCGUGAAGGAUGAAGGCUCUAUGGGUCGUAAACUUCUUUUAUAUGGGAAUAAAGUUUUCCACGUGUGGAAUUUUGUAUGUACCAUAUGAAUAAGGAUCGGCUAACUCCGUGCCAGCAGCCGCGGUAAUACGGAGGAUCCGAGCGUUAUCCGGAUUUAUUGGGUUUAAAGGGAGCGUAGGUGGAUUGUUAAGUCAGUUGUGAAAGUUUGCGGCUCAACCGUAAAAUUGCAGUUGAAACUGGCAGUCUUGAGUACAGUAGAGGUGGGCGGAAUUCGUGGUGUAGCGGUGAAAUGCUUAGAUAUCACGAAGAACUCCGAUUGCGAAGGCAGCUCACUAGACUGUCACUGACACUGAUGCUCGAAAGUGUGGGUAUCAAACAGGAUUAGAUACCCUGGUAGUCCACACAGUAAACGAUGAAUACUCGCUGUUUGCGAUAUACAGUAAGCGGCCAAGCGAAAGCAUUAAGUAUUCCACCUGGGGAGUACGCCGGCAACGGUGAAACUCAAAGGAAUUGACGGGGGCCCGCACAAGCGGAGGAACAUGUGGUUUAAUUCGAUGAUACGCGAGGAACCUUACCCGGGCUUAAAUUGCAACAGAAUAUAUUGGAAACAGUAUAGCCGUAAGGCUGUUGUGAAGGUGCUGCAUGGUUGUCGUCAGCUCGUGCCGUGAGGUGUCGGCUUAAGUGCCAUAACGAGCGCAACCCUUAUCUUUAGUUACUAACAGGUGAUGCUGAGGACUCUAGAGAGACUGCCGUCGUAAGAUGUGAGGAAGGUGGGGAUGACGUCAAAUCAGCACGGCCCUUACGUCCGGGGCUACACACGUGUUACAAUGGGGGGUACAGAAGGCGGCUACCUGGUGACAGGAUGCUAAUCCCAAAAACCUCUCUCAGUUCGGAUCGAAGUCUGCAACCCGACUUCGUGAAGCUGGAUUCGCUAGUAAUCGCGCAUCAGCCAUGGCGCGGUGAAUACGUUCCCGGGCCUUGUACACACCGCCCGUCAAGCCAUGAAAGCCGGGGGUACCUGAAGUACGUAACCGCAAGGAGCGUCCUAGGGUAAAACUGGU